This is a long non-coding RNA of Cyprinodon tularosa, 496 nucleotides long. RefSeq lists it as uncharacterized. The transcript has 3 exons. The record is from RefSeq and is a predicted model, not a curated record. Lineage: Eukaryota; Metazoa; Chordata; Actinopteri; Cyprinodontiformes; Cyprinodontidae.
ACUGCCCCUCACCUGCUCCAACCCCCACAGAGGCUUUACCUGUAUUAUUGUUUAGUGACACAUUUUGGGUGAAGUCUAGAAAUGGAUCGUCGUACCUUCAUCCUGCGUUGCAAGAGCAACAUGGAUGACUGCAUUCGGCGUCUGUUGAUGGAUGACAGCGUCCAGUUCUUGUUUUUCAGUCAACACUGAACAGGUUGGAGAUAAUUCAUAGGAGCAUCCAGUGGGCAAGGGGGAAUUUGCUCAAUGUUCCAGAUGCUGACGGGAUUCUAAAUGACCUAAGCGAAUUGAUAGAAGAAGUCAGAAUGACUGCUCACAGUCAAGGAGGACAAGAUGGAUAUGGUUACCAGGCCCAGCUGGUUUGGAGUGGAGGGAGAGGGCCACCUCACUUUUCCAUCACCAGGCAACAGCUGUCAUUUCUUAUGUCUUGUGGCUUCACUGCACAUCAGAUGGCUGGCGUUCUACAUGUGUCUGUGCAUACCGUUCGACGACGUUUGAG